Molecule: long non-coding RNA, 1348 nt
Organism: Oxyura jamaicensis (ruddy duck)
Lineage: Eukaryota; Metazoa; Chordata; Aves; Anseriformes; Anatidae
Exons: 5
Source: RefSeq, a predicted model, not a curated record
UAGUGGAAAUGUCCUUUCUACUGCAACGUGUAGAUUUUCAGACCUGCAGAAGAUGCAGAGUGUUGUGAAAGGACACAGUAAAAGCAUGAAAUGAAAAGAGCUGUGUGAGCAAUGGACGCUAUGAGUCACAUCACCUGUUAGCAGUUACAGCACCUGUGUUCAAAAUCUGCACUGUGUCUAUCUCAAUCUACUUAGAAAUGGUAAGUACUUUGCCGUUCCCAUAAGGAUGCUCCUAGAUGGGACCAGAAGUCCAUUUCCUCAUCGUCCUUGUGGCAGCAGUAGAUGCUUUGGGAAAGAGCACAAUAACAGGAGAUAUGUGGAGGGAUCCUUUCCCAGGCAGUGAAUCAGAGAAAAAAACUUGCCAGAGAAGAAUGGAAGAUGACUCGGAAGCAUGCGAAUGAGCUGGGGGAAAGAUGGGAUUCCCACAUUUUUACUCAUAACUGCCUUCACUGGCUGCGAAGGUCAUAACAUCAGACCAUUCAGAGCUCAGCAGGACAGAUAUGAACUCAGACAAAGUUCCCAUACACCACCACACAAUGGGGAGACAAGCUUAGUCAUGAGCAUUCUUCCAGUGUUUUUCUCUUCCUUCCAUUCACCCAGAAAAAUAUAUAUUUUAUCUCAGAAUUGCUAAGGAAUGAACUCUCUAGUAGCUCACUGUAGUCCUACAGCCUUGAACUGUCUGCUGCAGUCUCUGCAUAUGGCAAUUACCCGGUGUCUGCUCAUAUUAUCUUAAGUCAAGGGAAGCCUUCACUGAAGACAGUAAGUGCUCACUGAAGACACUAACUGCUGCUAUCUGCUUUGGGCACCCAGAUUCCCAAAAGUGAUGCUGUGAUGCUGUGUGUUGUCUGGGCUUGAGCUCCCUUGAGGAUGCUAUUGAACCUCCACUGGGCUUUUGUCAGAAAAUAGCUACUUACCCUCUGACCUGCAACCCCCCAGAAAGGCAAUGAAGGAAUUGCAAAGUGGGAUUGAUCAGUUUGUUGACAUUAAAUAAUAAUAACAUUUUGAACGGAGCCUAAUUAUGGCAAUUUUUGUGCAGGAAAGGUGCAGGUUGUGUUCACCAGGUCUAGUGGUUUUAUUUGGACGCACCGCAGCACUACAACAUGCUAAUGUUUCAUUGUCAGGCAGACAGAAAAAAAAAAAAAAAAGCUGAUAAUUUACAACUGGUCUCAAUGGAAAGAUGACGGAAAAUAUGAAUUAAGGACAAUUAAUCCAUUGUAAGAAUGAUUUAGGAAUAACUGGAACUUGCUUUGGCCAUGAGAUUAGCUGUGUGAGCACUGUCUUUUCUACCAAAUUAAUGUUUUAAAAGUAUGUGAAUGAAAUCAUAAAUAAAAUCAGCAUUUUAAAUAAA